ACAACCCCUAAGGAGAGACAUGUUGACACUUUCAUUUGGCAACAUCUGUAGAAUUUGAACCUCAUAAACAUGCAAUGUGGAAUUUGUAUCUCAAAGAAGUAUACAUACUUAUCAGGUUUAAUUAGCACAUAAACAUGCAAUGUGCAAUUUGUAUCUCAAAGAAGUAUACAUACUUAUCAGGUUUAAUUAGCACACAGAAGCCAAAUGCUAGUAGCUCAUGAUUAGUACACAAGACAGGAUUCAACAAAGUAAACAAGAAGGUGGCUACAGUACAAAACUAAGCUCAUCACACAGAAUAAAAUGAUAUUAAAGUAAGCUCAACAUAAGC
RNAcentral lists this long non-coding RNA (328 nucleotides) under Triticum aestivum (bread wheat). Its description in RNAcentral is "long non-coding RNA (TAES_LNC014019)". Lineage: Eukaryota; Viridiplantae; Streptophyta; Magnoliopsida; Poales; Poaceae. The record is from RNAcentral.